UGCAGAAUCCCGCGAACCAUCGAGUCUUUGAACGCAAGUUGCGCCCGAGGCCAAUCGGCCAAGGGCACGUCUGCCUGGGCGUCAAGC
This 87-nucleotide ribosomal RNA is filed under the name Calanthe discolor. Its description in RNAcentral is "partial 5.8S ribosomal RNA". It matches the Rfam family "5.8S ribosomal RNA", at positions 73 to 154 of the family's 154-position model. Rfam says of the family: 5.8S ribosomal RNA (5.8S rRNA) is a component of the large subunit of the eukaryotic ribosome. It is transcribed by RNA polymerase I as part of the 45S precursor that also contains 18S and 28S rRNA. The record is from RNAcentral. RNAcentral also lists the same sequence under 1 other name. Lineage: Eukaryota; Viridiplantae; Streptophyta; Magnoliopsida; Asparagales; Orchidaceae.